GUUAUAUGGUCAAGCGAAUAAGCGCACACGGUGGAUGCCUUGGCGGUCAGAGGCGAUGAAGGACGUGGCAGCCUGCGAAAAGUAUCGGGGAGCUGGCAACAAGCUUUGAUCCGGUAAUGUCCGAAUGGGGAAACCCACCCGCUUGCGGGUAUCCUGCAGUGAAUACAUAGCUGCUGGAAGCGAACCUGGUGAACUGAAAUAUCUAAGUAACCAGAGGAAAAGAAAUCAACCGAGAUUCCGUAAGUAGCGACGAGCGAACGCGGACUAGCCCUUAAGCUGAUUUGGUUCUAGGAAAAUGCUCUGGAAAGAGCAGCCAUAGAAGGUGAUAGCCCUGUAUCUGAAAGGGCCAUUUCAGUGAAGACGAGUAGGGCGGGGCACGUGAAACCCUGUCUGAACAUGGGGGGACCAUCCUCCAAGGCUAAAUACUACUGACCGACCGAUAGUGAACCAGUACCGUGAGGGAAAGGCGAAAAGAACCCCGGAGAGGGGAGUGAAAUAGAUCCUGAAACCGUGUGCGUACAAGCAGUAGGAGCUCCGCAAGGAGUGACUGCGUACCUUUUGUAUAAUGGGUCAGCGACUUACUGUUCGUGGCAAGCUUAACCGUAUAGGGGAGGCGAAGGGAAACCGAGUCUGAUAAGGGCGCAUAGUCGCGGGCAGUAGACCCGAAACCGGGUGAUCUAGUCAUGGCCAGGGUGAAGGUGCCGUAACAGGUACUGGAGGCCCGAACCCACGUCUGUUGCAAAAGACGGGGAUGAGCUGUGAUUAGGAGUGAAAAGCUAAUCGAACCCGGAGAUAGCUGGUUCUCCUCGAAAGCUAUUUAGGUAGCGCCUCAUAUGUAUCCUCUCGGGGGUAGAGCACUGUUAUGGCUAGGGGGUCAUCGCGACUUACCAAACCAUUGCAAACUCCGAAUACCGAGACGGACUGUAUGGGAGACACACGGCGGGUGCUAACGUCCGUCGUGAAAAGGGAAACAACCCAGACCCACAGCUAAGGUCCCAAAUUUUGUGCUAAGUGGAAAACCAUGUGGAAAGGCACAGACAGCCAGGAGGUUGGCUUAGAAGCAGCCACCCUUUAAAGAAAGCGUAAUAGCUCACUGGUCGAGUCGGUCUGCGGGGAAGAUUUAACGGGGCUAAGCACAAAACCGAAGCUUGGGGUGCAUAACUUUGUUAUGCGCGGUAGAGGAGCGUUCCGUAAGCCGUUGAAGGUGGAUUGAGAAGUCUGCUGGAGGUAUCGGAAGUGCGAAUGCUGACAUGAGUAACGAUAAUGCGGGUGAAAAACCCGCACGCCGAAAGCCCAAGGUUUCCUUGCGCAACGUUAAUCGGCGCAGGGUGAGUCGGCCCCUAAGGCGAGGACGAAAGUCGUAGUCGAUGGAAAGCAGGUUAAUAUUCCUGCACCUCGCGUAAGUGCGAUGGAGGGACGGAGAAGGUUAGGUGUACCAGGCGUUGGUUGUCCUGGGGAAAGGCGGUAGGUUUGGAUCUUUGGCAAAUCCGGGAUCCUUUAAGACCGAGCACCGAGACGAGCCUUUAUGGCGAAGUCACUGAUACCACGCUUCCAGGAAAAGCUCCUAAGCUUCAGCUUACGCAGACCGUACCGUAAACCGACACAGGUGGGUAGGAUGAGAAUUCUCAGGCGCUUGAGAGAACUCGGGUGAAGGAACUAGGCAACAUGGCACCGUAACUUCGGGAGAAGGUGCACCCUUUUUGGUGGCUCGUGCGAGCUAUAGCUGAAGAGGGUCGCAGUAACCAGGCCGCUGCGACUGUUUAUCAAAAACACAGCACUCUGCAAACACGAAAGUGGACGUAUAGGGUGUGACGCCUGCCCGGUGCUGGAAGGUUAAUUGAUGGGGUCAGCCGCAAGGCGAAGCUCUUGAUCGAAGCCCCAGUAAACGGCGGCCGUAACUAUAACGGUCCUAAGGUAGCGAAAUUCCUUGUCGGGUAAGUUCCGACCUGCACGAAUGGCGUAACGACAGCGGCGCUGUCUCCACCCGAGACUCAGUGAAAUUGAAAUCGCUGUGAAGAUGCAGCGUUCCCGUGGCAAGACGGAAAGACCCCGUGAACCUUUACUAUAGCUUUACACUGAACGUUGAGUUCGUCUGUGUAGGAUAGGUGGGAGGCUAUGAAACUGUGGCGCUAGCUGCAGUGGAGCCAUCCUUGAAAUACCACCCUGUCGUGCUUGACGUUCUAACCUGGGUCCAUUAUCUGGAUCGGGGACCGUGUAUGGUGGGUAGUUUGACUGGGGCGGUCUCCUCCUAAAGAGUAACGGAGGAGCUCGAAGGUACGCUCAGCGCGGUCGGACAUCGCGCACUGUGUGCAAAGGCAUAAGCGUGCUUGACUGCAAGAUCGACGGAUCAAGCAGGUAGGAAACUAGGACUUAGUGAUCCGGUGGUUCUGUAUGGAAGGGCCAUCGCUCAACGGAUAAAAGGUACUCCGGGGAUAACAGGCUGAUACCGCCCAAGAGUUCAUAUCGACGGCGGUGUUUGGCACCUCGAUGUCGGCUCAUCACAUCCUGGGGCUGUAGUCGGUCCCAAGGGUAUGGCUGUUCGCCAUUUAAAGUGGUACGCGAGCUGGGUUCAGAACGUCGUGAGACAGUUCGGUCCCUAUCUGCCAUGGGCGUUGGAGAUUUGAGAGGGGCUGCUCCUAGUACGAGAGGACCGGAGUGGACGAACCUCUGGUGUUCCGGUUGUCACGCCAGUGGCAUUGCCGGGUAGCUAUGUUCGGAAGCGAUAACCGCUGAAAGCAUCUAAGCGGGAAGCGCGCCUCAAGAUGAGAUCUCCCGGGGCACAAGCCCCCUGAAGGAACCAUAUAGACUAUGUGGUUGAUAGGUCAGGUGUGUAAGUACAGCAAUGUAUUGAGCUAACUGAUACUAAUGAUCCGUGUGGCUUGACCAUAUAACCU
Molecule: ribosomal RNA, 2894 nt
Filed under: Stenotrophomonas maltophilia
Lineage: Bacteria; Pseudomonadati; Pseudomonadota; Gammaproteobacteria; Lysobacterales; Lysobacteraceae
Description: bacterial LSU rRNA
Rfam family: Bacterial large subunit ribosomal RNA
Source: RNAcentral